GUGUCAGCAGCCGCGGUAAUACGUAGGUGGCGAGCGUUGUCCGGAAUUACUGGGUGUAAAGGGCGUGUAGGCGGGCCUGCAAGUCAGAUGUGAAAUUCCGGGGCUUAACCCCGGCGCUGCAUUUGAAACUGCGGGUCUUGAGUAUCGGAGAGGGAAGUGGAAUUCCUAGUGUAGCGGUGAAAUGCGUAGAUAUUAGGAGGAACACCAGUGGCGAAGGCGACUUUCUGGACGAUAACUGACGCUGAGGCGCGAAAGCGUGGGGAGCAAACAGGAUUAGAAACCCUCGUAGUCC
Molecule: ribosomal RNA, 292 nt
Filed under: uncultured bacterium
Lineage: Bacteria
Description: partial 16S ribosomal RNA
Rfam family: Bacterial small subunit ribosomal RNA
Source: RNAcentral